GAUGAACGCUGGCGGCGUGCCUAAUACAUGCAAGUCGAGCGAACGGACGAGAAGCUUGCUUCUCUGAUGUUAGCGGCGGACGGGUGAGUAACACGUGGAUAACCUACCUAUAAGACUGGGAUAACUUCGGGAAACCGGAGCUAAUGCCGGAUAAUAUUUUGAACCGCAUGGUUCAAAAGUGAAAGACGGUCUUGCUGUCACUUAUAGAUGGAUCCGCGCUGCAUUAGCUAGUUGGUAAGGUAACGGCUUACCAAGGCAACGAUGCAUAGCCGACCUGAGAGGGUGAUCGGCCACACUGGAACUGAGACACGGUCCAGACUCCUACGGGAGGCAGCAGUAGGGAAUCUUCCGCAAUGGGCGAAAGCCUGACGGAGCAACGCCGCGUGAGUGAUGAAGGUCUUCGGAUCGUAAAACUCUGUUAUUAGGGAAGAACAUAUGUGUAAGUAACUGUGCACAUCUUGACGGUACCUAAUCAGAAAGCCACGGCUAACUACGUGCCAGCAGCCGCGGUAAUACGUAGGUGGCAAGCGUUAUCCGGAAUUAUUGGGCGUAAAGCGCGCGUAGGCGGUUUUUUAAGUCUGAUGUGAAAGCCCACGGCUCAACCGUGGAGGGUCAUUGGAAACUGGAAGACUUGAGUGCAGAAGAGGAAAGUGGAAUUCCAUGUGUAGCGGUGAAAUGCGCAGAGAUAUGGAGGAACACCAGUGGCGAAGGCGACUUUCUGGUCUGUAACUGACGCUGAUGUGCGAAAGCGUGGGGAUCAAACAGGAUUAGAUACCCUGGUAGUCCACGCCGUAAACGAUGAGUGCUAAGUGUUAGGGGGUUUCCGCCCCUUAGUGCUGCAGCUAACGCAUUAAGCACUCCGCCUGGGGAGUACGACCGCAAGGUUGAAACUCAAAGGAAUUGACGGGGACCCGCACAAGCGGUGGAGCAUGUGGUUUAAUUCGAAGCAACGCGAAGAACCUUACCAAAUCUUGACAUCCUUUGACAACUCUAGAGAUAGAGCCUUCCCCUUCGGGGGACAAAGUGACAGGUGGUGCAUGGUUGUCGUCAGCUCGUGUCGUGAGAUGUUGGGUUAAGUCCCGCAACGAGCGCAACCCUUAAGCUUAGUUGCCAUCAUUAAGUUGGGCACUCUAAGUUGACUGCCGGUGACAAACCGGAGGAAGGUGGGGAUGACGUCAAAUCAUCAUGCCCCUUAUGAUUUGGGCUACACACGUGCUACAAUGGACAAUACAAAGGGCAGCGAAACCGCGAGGUCAAGCAAAUCCCAUAAAGUUGUUCUCAGUUCGGAUUGUAGUCUGCAACUCGACUACAUGAAGCUGGAAUUGCUAGUAAUCGUAGAUCAGCAUGCUACGGUGAAUACGUUCCCGGGUCU
RNAcentral lists this ribosomal RNA (1372 nucleotides) under uncultured bacterium. RNAcentral describes it as "bacterial SSU rRNA". It matches the Rfam family "Bacterial small subunit ribosomal RNA", at positions 28 to 1381 of the family's 1533-position model. The record is from RNAcentral.